Molecule: long non-coding RNA, 1171 nt
Organism: Rana temporaria (common frog)
Lineage: Eukaryota; Metazoa; Chordata; Amphibia; Anura; Ranidae
Exons: 2
Source: RefSeq, a predicted model, not a curated record
UAAACCUCAGUGCAACCCAGAGACUCGGCUCUCGCGCUGCAAGCGUCCUUCUCUCCUGCGGAGAUCCUUCACAGGCAAAUCCACAACCCAACAGGAUGUGUAGUAAGGAGACGACUUGUAUGGAAUGGGACUAACGCUGGACAGUGCCAUGAGAUCCAGAUCUGGGGGUCCGAGUUGCCUUGGAGGGAAGGGGGCACUCUCAAGUUGGUGAGACCCAAGUUGGUGAGACCCAAAUCUUCUUCAGUUUUCUACUUCUAGGACAGGGUGGACUUUUUUUUGGAACUUCUGCUUGAAGAUGAGUUGCUGGAAUUGAAGGCGAUUUUUCUGGGAAAUAUGGAACUUGAGUUACAAAGACGUAGUCCUAUGGUGACACACUGAAGGCAGGACAAGAAUGAAUGGGACAUCCGUGUCGAAGAACGCUGGGUCACUCCGGACAAACAUGGCCAUCUCGCUAAGGGCAAGAUGUUAUGUGCUGCACUUCAGCUCUUGAUGCUGGGCAGGGUGAACCAGAGGAAGGUAAAUUUGGAUUUUUUGACCAAAAUGGUCAUCCCUGGGGGAGGAGAAGAUGACAGAGGAAGCCAAGAAAAAGAAAGUAAAGAGGAGACAAUCCUGGCCAUGCUGGGGAUCAUCGGAACCAUACUCAACCUGCUGGUCAUCAUAUUCGUCUACAUAUAUACCACGUUAUAACUGGCGAUUGGCAUGCAGACUCACAUUCCAGACAACCCACGAAAACUUUGGGCCAGACUGGAAGUUAUAAGAAACUCAAACCACAAGCACAAACUUUAACCGCGUUCUCCUCGGCGGCAAAACAGACAAUUUUUCACUUUUCUCGGACCAAGAGACCACAAGGACCAUGAAACCUCUCAUCAUGUGCCAUAGAAGCGGAGUGUCUUCCCGUCGGCCCAUUCGCCAUGUAAAUGUUAUGCUUUCGUUUUUUCUGUCUGGUUCUUGUGGUCACAUGGCGGGCGCGGCGCCGCCUACAGACAAUUCGCUGCCUCAGUUUUUGCAAAUGAAAGGUUUUCUUUUUUUUCUCUUUCUUUUUUCUUGCUUUACUUCGAUUUUAACUUGUUGACAUGAAUGUUCAUACCUGUACUUUGGAAGUAAGUGCAAUACUUUUUGCAUGUGGCAAAUACACAUGGGAUUUCUUAUUGAAUAAAGGAAAUUUUCUUUA